Molecule: small nucleolar RNA, 131 nt
Organism: Jaculus jaculus (lesser Egyptian jerboa)
Lineage: Eukaryota; Metazoa; Chordata; Mammalia; Rodentia; Dipodidae
Source: Ensembl
CAGCAUGUUUCCAACUGCUGUGGCUGUUUAUGGUCAUGAGAUCUCCAACUGCAUGCUAGAGAAACCUGAAGAGACUUUGACAGCUCAGGUCAACACAGCACUUGUGGCUGCCACUUGCCUUUCCUAUAAAG